Molecule: ribosomal RNA, 400 nt
Filed under: uncultured bacterium
Lineage: Bacteria
Description: bacterial SSU rRNA
Rfam family: Bacterial small subunit ribosomal RNA
Source: RNAcentral
UGGGGAAUCUUCCGCAAUGGACGAAAGUCUGACGGAGCGACGCCGCGUGAGUGAAGAAGGCCCUCGGGUCGUAAAGCUCUGUCAUCAGGGACGAAUGGCCGGAUCAGGAAAUGGGUUCGGAUUGACGGUACCUGAGAAGGAAGCCACGGCUAACUACGUGCCAGCAGCCGCGGUAAUACGUAGGUGGCGAGCGUUGUCCGGAAUUAUUGGGCGUAAAGCGCGCGCAGGUGGGAUCUUAAGUCCAUUUUGAAAGUUCGGAGCUCAACUCCGUGAGGGGAUGGAAACUGAGAUUCUUGAGUACCGGAGAGGAAAGCGGAAUUCCCCGUGUAGCGGUGAAAUGCGUAGAUAUGGGGAGGAACACCAGUGGCGAAGGCGGCUUUCUGGACGGUGUCUGACACUG